GAAGUUAUAGGUCUUCUUAUAGCUGCUGCCGGUGGACCAUUAAACUCUUGUUAUUUUAUGUAAUCUGAGCGUCUUAUUUUAAUAAGUCAAAACUUUCAACAACGGAUCUCUUGGUUCUGGCAUCGAUGAAGAACGCAGCGAAAUGCGAUAAGUAAUGUGAAUUGCAGACGUCAGUGAAUCAUCGAAUCUUUGAACGCACAUUGCGCCCAUUAAUUCUAGUGCAGCUGGCCGCGUCAUCCACCCUUAAGCCUAGCUUAGUGUUGGGAAUCUACUUCUCUUAGGAGUUGUAGUUCCUGAAAUACAACGGCGGAUUUGUAGUAUCCUCUGAGCGUAGUAAUUUUUUUCUCGCUUUUGUUAGGUGCUAUAACUCCCAGCCGCUAAACCCCCAAUUUUUUGUGGUUGACCUCGGAUCAGGUAGGAAUACCCGCUGAACUUAAAUAUCAAUAAGCGGAGGAAAAGAAACCAACAGGGAUUGCCUUAGUAACGGCGAGUGAAGCGGCAACAGCUCAAAUUUGAAAUCUGGCCCUUGGGUCCGAAUUGUAAUUUGUAGAGGAUGAUUUUGGUGCGGUAUCUUCCGAGUUCCUUGGAACAGGACGCCUUAGAGGGUGAGAGCCCCCGUACGGUUGAAUGCCUAGCUCUGUAAAUCUCCCUUCGACGAUCGAGUAGAUUGGGAAUGCUGCUCUAAAUGGGAGGUAAAUUUCUUCUAAAGAUAAAUAU
RNAcentral lists this ribosomal RNA (717 nucleotides) under Sordariomycetes sp. TC252. Its description in RNAcentral is "eukaryotic LSU rRNA". The stretch from base 401 to 717 matches the Rfam family "Eukaryotic large subunit ribosomal RNA", at positions 1 to 323 of the family's 3401-position model. The record is from RNAcentral. Lineage: Eukaryota; Fungi; Ascomycota; Sordariomycetes.